Molecule: ribosomal RNA, 468 nt
Filed under: uncultured bacterium
Lineage: Bacteria
Description: partial 16S ribosomal RNA
Rfam family: Bacterial small subunit ribosomal RNA
Source: RNAcentral
GACGAACGCUGGCGGCGUGCUUAACACAUGCCAGUCGAACGAACAGGCCCUGCUUUUGUGGGGUGCUCGAGUGGCGAACGGGUGAGUAACACGUGAGUAUCAUGCCCUUGACUUUGGGAUAACUUCUGGGAACUGGGGCUAAUACCGGAUAUGAGCUCCUGCUGCAUGGUGGUGGUUGGAAAGAUUCGGCGGUUGGGGAUGGACUCGCGGCUUAUCAGCUGGUUGGUGGGGUAGUGGAUUACCAAGGCUUUGACGGGUAGCCGGCCUGAGAGGGUGACCGGCCACAUUGGGACUGAGAUACGGCCCAGACGCCUACGGGAGGCAGCAGUGGGGAAUAUUGCACAAUGAGCGGAAGCCUGAUGCAGCAACGCCGCGUGCGUGAUGACGGCCUUCGGGUUGUAAACCGCUUUCGCCUGUGACGAAGCGUGAGUGACGGUAAUGGGUAAAGAAGCACCGGCUAACUACGUG